GAUGAACGCUGGCGGCGUGCCUAAUACAUGCCAGUCGAGCGAACGGACGAGAAGCUUGCUUUUCUGAUGUUAGCGGCGGACGGGUGAGUAACACGUGGAUAACCUACCUAUAAGACUGGGAUAACUUCGGGAAACCGGAGCUAAUACCGGAUAAUAUUUUGAACCGCAUGGUUCAAAAGUGAAAGACGGUCUUGCUGUCACUUAUAGAUGGAUCCGCGCUGCAUUAGCUAGUUGGUAAGGUAACGGCUUAUCAAGGCAACGAUGCAUAGCCGACCUGAGAGGGUGAUCGGCCACACUGGAACUGAGACACGGUCCAGACUCCUACGGGAGGCAGCAGUAGGGAAUCUUCCGCAAUGGGCGAAAGCCUGACGGAGCAACGCCGCGUGAGUGAUGAAGGUCUUCGGAUCGUAAAACUCUGUUAUUAGGGAAGAACAUAUGUGUAAGUAACUGUGCACAUCUUGACGGUACCUAAUCAGAAAGCCACGGCUAACUACGUG
This 497-nucleotide ribosomal RNA is filed under the name uncultured bacterium. RNAcentral's name for it is "partial 16S ribosomal RNA". It matches the Rfam family "Bacterial small subunit ribosomal RNA", at positions 28 to 507 of the family's 1533-position model. The record is from RNAcentral.